GGGGCCAUAGCUCAGUUGGGAGAGCGUGUGAAUGGCAUUCACAAGGUCAGGGGUUCAAGUCCCCUUGGCUCCACCA
Molecule: transfer RNA, 76 nt
Filed under: Thermoanaerobacter uzonensis DSM 18761
Lineage: Bacteria; Bacillati; Bacillota; Clostridia; Thermoanaerobacterales; Thermoanaerobacteraceae
Description: tRNA_Ala_GGC
Rfam family: tRNA
About the family: Transfer RNA (tRNA) molecules are approximately 80 nucleotides in length. Their secondary structure includes four short double-helical elements and three loops (D, anti-codon, and T loops).
Source: RNAcentral